CGCAAAUUUGAAAAUGACGAGCCAUAAGCAAAUUGCCCAUAACUACGAUGGAUUCAAUGAAUUAUUUAAUUGUGUGACACGUGGCAUAUAACCGACACACACAGAACCUUCGUACGACACCCUUGCUUUUUAUCUCCUCAAGAACCUCUAGUCACUUCACUUCCAAACCUUCAAGACUUGCAUCUCCUGCUACAUUAUUCAAACCCUAACCCCAAUACGCAUACAUACAAUACAAUUCAUUUGAGUUAAGAUAAAGCAAGUUUACUGACAAUGUAAGUUGGUUUCUAAUUUAAUUGAGGUAUGAAGUAAUUCAAGAUGGGAUACAAGUGGUUUGAGCCGAUGGCGAGGAGGAUUCCGAAAAGGGUGUGGCUUGGGUACCAAAUGUCAAUGGGUUUACUCGUGGGUGGGAAUCACACAUCCUCCAGGUUUUGCACACGCUAAAUAGUUCGUUUUCUUCGUUGUUUGGCUUUUUUCUGAUUUGAUAUAAUCUACUUGUGUUUUGCUUUGAGUGAAUCACGGUGCAAUUAUAGAUCUGGCACUUUGAAUUGCUUAAAAGAUCUGGAUUUGGGAUUUAAAAAGAGAACUUAAGUGUAAAAAAUGGAUUUGAACUUGUUGAAAUGGCGAAUUAUUCGUGGGUCAUUCGUCAUGCAUGUGGUACUGAGAGCUUUUAUGUUUGUACUGGCUACGACUAUUCUGUCGUUUAUGCAAAUGACCCAUGAGGCGGGCAUAAUUGGGCGAAUGGUAUCGAAUAUUGAUGUGUGCCCAUUGAGUUUUGGCUCGAACCAGGAUUUAAAUUUCACCGGGCAUCUGAAGCCCACAUCGGCACCUGGUUUUAUGUCUUCCCUAUUUGGGACAACUCCUAUGCCGUGCAUAGAAAGUCAAAACUUCACAAAGAAUGUGUUCAAAGAGCUAAUGGAGAAGAAUCUUUUAGAUUCUAAUGCUAAAGCAUUAUGUGUUGGGGAGAGAUCUGCCUCCACAGUAUUGACGUUGCGGGAGUUAGGAUUGUCCAAUGCCUUUGGUGUAGAUAGACACCCAUUCUUCUCCCUUGUGCAGAGAAGAUUCGUUUAUGAGCUCAACUUUGAGAAUAAUCAUUUUGAUUUUGUGUUCUCGAGAGAUCUUGACAGGGUUUCUGUACCAUCUCUUCUUGUUCUUGAGAUUGAGCGUGUUUUACGUCCUGGUGGAAUUGGUGCUAUUCUUGUGGGAGGACGUAAUUUCCACUCCGGUAGCUUGGUAAGGUUGGCCACACCGGUCGUAUCAUUCUUGAAGAGUUCUGAUGUUAUUUAUGUAUGCGGUGUUGGAUCCUCUACGCUGGUGGUGUUUAAGAAGAGAUAUGAAAAUUUUUCUGCCUUUGAGCAUUUCCAGCUUCCAGAUAAGUGCCCGUCAGUUACGAAAAAUAUAGCGUUUAUGAAGUUUAUGGAGCCUCUUGUGGAUGGAAAGUCAGGGCAAUUUGAGCUGGAGCCUGCAUAUCUGGCUAACUUCAGGAACAUUUCCUCAAGGAACAAAUUAGUGUACAUUAACAUUGGUGCAGGGGAGUUUGCAAAAGAAAGUGUCGCAAAAAUGUCCAAGAAUUAUUGUUCUAAUCACCAUGCAUGCUUCGAUGUUUUUGUUAUUGAUCAUAGAACAUCUGUCCUCUCUUCAUAUGUGACAGGUCCCGGUAUCCAUUUUAUUUAUCAUCCCAGCCUUUCCGGAGAGAAUGCUGCUCGUGAAAUCAACUCUGAUGAAUAUUUUAGUGCACCACCAGAUGAAGGCGAGUUUGACUUUAUUCACUGGUUCAAUGAAACAGUUGCUGAUGGAGAUUUCGUGGUACUCGUGAUGAACACCAAGCCGGUAGAGCUCAAUAUUCUUGUUGAAUUAUUUAAAACCGGAGCAAUAUGCCAUGUUGAUGAACUCUUCCUUAGGUGUUCAAACGAAGAAGAUUGUAAAACAACUACAUGUGGAGACUGUACGCGUCUUUUCAAAAGCCUAAGGAAGAGUGGCGUGUAUGUGCACCAAUUGUUGGGUGAUUAAGCUUCGACCAAAAUGUGGUGAAUUUCAUAUCUUGUUUUAGCCUUUGCUUUAAUUUCGUAUGGAGUUGUUGGGAAAUUAAUCCGUGUGUGAAUUUCCUAACUCGUUUCAGUCUGUCGUUUGAUUACGUGUGAUGAAUAAAACAAGGAGCCAUGGUGGAUUGAGGUUAUAAUCUACCACUCUCCUCUGUUGAACUGAGUUUGAUCCCCUUUAUCAGUUGAAUGGAAUGAUUUCCUCUUUGUUGUUCUGAUUCUACAUGUUAAUGCGUUAUAUUUGGAAAACUGAGAGGAGUUGUUAAUAGGAAUUUGGAAAACCUUUUAUGAUGUCUGGUUGGAGUAAAUCCAAAACAGUGAAACACAGCUAGAAUUUGCUUAUAACUGCACCAAAAAUUGAACCUUUUUUUUUUUUUUUUUUUUUGAAAAAACGGUCAAACUUUAUUCAUUCACCCCUCGCUUAUGGCUGAGGAAUACCAUUGAGACAAAUUCAACAGAACAAAUAUAAGAAC
This 2509-nucleotide long non-coding RNA is filed under the name Olea europaea subsp. europaea. The record is from RNAcentral. Lineage: Eukaryota; Viridiplantae; Streptophyta; Magnoliopsida; Lamiales; Oleaceae.